RNAcentral lists this ribosomal RNA (119 nucleotides) under Pteropus alecto (black flying fox). Lineage: Eukaryota; Metazoa; Chordata; Mammalia; Chiroptera; Pteropodidae. The record is from RNAcentral.
GUCUACGGCCAUGCCACCCUGAACAAACCUGAUCCUGUCUGAUCUCGGAAGCUAACUAGGGUCGGGCCUGGUUAGUACUUGGAUGGGAGACCGCCUAGGAAGACCAGGUGCUGUAGGUG